RNAcentral lists this ribosomal RNA (653 nucleotides) under Streptomyces sp. RNAcentral describes it as "bacterial SSU rRNA". It matches the Rfam family "Bacterial small subunit ribosomal RNA", at positions 75 to 743 of the family's 1533-position model. The record is from RNAcentral. Lineage: Bacteria; Bacillati; Actinomycetota; Actinomycetes; Kitasatosporales; Streptomycetaceae.
CCACUUCGGUGGGGAUUAGUGGCGAACGGGUGAGUAACACGUGGGCAAUCUGCCCUGCACUCUGGGACAAGCCCUGGAAACGGGGUCUAAUACCGGAUACAACCACUAGGGGCAUCCCUUGGUGGUGGAAAGCUCCGGCGGUGCAGGAUGAGCCCGCGGCCUAUCAGCUUGUUGGUGAGGUAACGGCUCACCAAGGCGACGACGGGUAGCCGGCCUGAGAGGGCGACCGGCCACACUGGGACUGAGACACGGCCCAGACUCCUACGGGAGGCAGCAGUGGGGAAUAUUGCACAAUGGGCGAAAGCCUGAUGCAGCGACGCCGCGUGAGGGAUGACGGCCUUCGGGUUGUAAACCUCUUUCAGCAGGGAAGAAGCGAAAGUGACGGUACCUGCAGAAGAAGCGCCGGCUAACUACGUGCCAGCAGCCGCGGUAAUACGUAGGGCGCAAGCGUUGUCCGGAAUUAUUGGGCGUAAAGAGCUCGUAGGCGGCUUGUCACGUCGGUUGUGAAAGCCCGGGGCUUAACCCCGGGUCUGCAGUCGAUACGGGCAGGCUAGAGUUCGGUAGGGGAGAUCGGAAUUCCUGGUGUAGCGGUGAAAUGCGCAGAUAUCAGGAGGAACACCGGUGGCGAAGGCGGAUCUCUGGGCCGAUACUGA